RNAcentral lists this long non-coding RNA (2004 nucleotides) under Heterocephalus glaber (naked mole-rat). RNAcentral describes it as "lncRNA (ENSHGLG00000039531.1)". The record is from RNAcentral. Lineage: Eukaryota; Metazoa; Chordata; Mammalia; Rodentia; Bathyergidae.
GAUUCCUUCUCUUUUUCUCCUGCUGAUUUUUCUUUUUGUUUUCUUUCCUUCUUUCUCUCUCUCUUUCUUUCUCUCUCUCUUUCUUUCUUUCUCUCUUUCUUUCUUUCUUUCUUUCUUUCUUUCUUUCUUUCUUUCUUUCUUUCUUUCUUUCUUUCUUUCUUUCUUGACUGUAGAAUUGGAUUCUUGAUGAUGUCUGCAUCCCUGAAAACUGAGGUUUCUUUGGAAAACCCUGCUAGAACCAUCCCUGCAACCAGCUGUGCUGCUGUUUCUUCUUUUUCUUUUUCAUUGCACUGCCUUGGAGAUUGUGCUGCUGUUAUCCAUUUCUUGCGUCAGUUACAGAAAUUGCUAUCAGCUCAGAAGAUGAGGCUUUGAAAUCUUUGGAUUCCACAUACACAUGCUUUGCUUUGAAGUUGUGGAGACCUUUUCCUGUUGUUUACAUAGCCCCUCCAUUCAAACACCUCAGGCACUUAAAAUUGGCUCAGAAACCUAGUAUAUAACUUCCUAGCUGAGAAGAGAAAAUAAAAAUGUAUUCUACCUGCUAGAGUGUUGGCAUAGUGACAGAUAAAGAAAUGUGAGAAAACUGGCCUCCAUUUCCUAAGGUACUUUGUGAGGUCCUGUCCUGUAUUUUCCCUUGCCUGGGUAUAGUUUCUUUUUAAUUGGUUUUGCAUCUGAUAAGAGGCACAUUGAGCAUUUGCAGUAUGUCAUCUGUUGCUAAGUACAAGCUACCCAUCACCAGCAGGCCUGCCGUCCUUACUUUCAGCACCAGCAUUUCCCCAUUCUAUUUGAAUCUACUGGCUCAAUACCAGACGUGGAAGCAUAUGAAGGAGUAAAGGAGAAUAAAUAACCCUGUUUAGUUUUCUUGGAGCAGAAAGUGUUUUGGAGGAGAAAGUAACCCAAAGGUCUCCUAUCUCCUUUACCUUUAUGAAAGGAACACCCUAUGCUUUAAAUAAUGAUUCAUGUGGUAUGCACCACAUUCUAAGAGUAAAAGCAGAGACGAAAGCUGCUAUUUAUUCUGUACAGUGAAAAUAGAAAUCUGGAAACAGCAUCUGCUUCUCAUUUAAGUGUAUUUUUUUUCUAACUGUUUAGAUGUACAGAGGCAUCAAGCCAGGUUUCAAUCAACAACAAAGGUCUCAUGCUAUCUAAACAAAACCUCAUUCCUGAAGCACUGGUCAUAACACUUGAAAUGGCUCAAAGACCUCAACUGGACUUUAAACACAAAGUAGUUAUAAAGCCUGGGUCAUGAGAAAAGACAUUUUUUGUUUUUUAAAUCAAGUUUGAAAUUGUAGAGAAAUAUUGCUAGAACUAUACUUUCUGAUACCUAUAAAUACCAAGUAAUUUAACCUUGGUUCAUAAAUCACAUUACCUUUUGAAAAAUAAACCUUGGAAUAAUGACUUGUAUUUCUUGUUUUUACAAAGAAGAAUGAAACUCUUUGGUACUUUGGAUGAUUUGAUUAUAUAGAUUACUUAUUAGAAGCAUACUUCCUAAUGCAUGUUAUUGGAAUGCAAUGCCGCAAAGGCUAACUGAUGUAAUUAUGGCUCCCUUAAUUCUAUGGCUCACAGAAUAGGAGUCUAAAAUAAAGAAACUUGGUUUCUGGAAACUCUGAACUACUCUCAGUUACACGCAGGUAAGUAGAGAUACAUCAUUUAGCAGAGAAAGGAAUUAGACAUUUUGAAGAAAAGAGCCCUAAACACUGACAAUCUCAGCAGCUGGAUAUGGGAGCCCCAGCUUUGUGGAAGACCUGUGGCUGCCUAUGAGUCUGUUCUGUAUGGAUGGCCCCAUAGCCAAAAGGAAGAUAGAAGCAAAGGAGAGCUUGAAUGGAGGAAAGAAAAUGCUGGACCUGAAUGGUUUAGGAAGCUGUUUGCAGGGCCAUGUUAGAAAAUGAAGCUGUCCCUAAUUCUGUUAACCCCUUCUCUCCAAGAAGACGAGGCUUCUAGUGACCUAUUUCCCUUCCUGUUCUUAGAGGCGACUCUGCAUGGUUCAGACCUCAGACUGACUUAAAACAG